RNAcentral lists this ribosomal RNA (464 nucleotides) under Vreelandella stevensii. RNAcentral's name for it is "partial 16S ribosomal RNA". It matches the Rfam family "Bacterial small subunit ribosomal RNA", at positions 338 to 795 of the family's 1533-position model. Lineage: Bacteria; Pseudomonadati; Pseudomonadota; Gammaproteobacteria; Oceanospirillales; Halomonadaceae. The record is from RNAcentral.
CCUACGGGGGGCUGCAGUGGGGAAUAUUGGACAAUGGGCGAAAGCCUGAUCCAGCCAUGCCGCGUGUGUGAAGAAGGCCUUCGGGUUGUAAAGCACUUUCAGUGGGGAAGAAAGCCUUGGGGCUAAUACCCUCGAGGAAGGACAUCACCCACAGAAGAAGCACCGGCUAACUCCGUGCCAGCAGCCGCGGUAAUACGGAGGGUGCGAGCGUUAAUCGGAAUUACUGGGCUUAAAGCGCGCGUAGGCGGUCUGAUAAGCCGGUUGUGAAAGCCCCGGGCUCAACCUGGGAACGGCAUCCGGAACUGUCAGGCUAGAGUGCAGGAGAGGAAGGUAGAAUUCCCGGUGUAGCGGUGAAAUGCGUAGAGAUCGGGAGGAAUACCAGUGGCGAAGGCGGCCUUCUGGACUGACACUGACGCUGAGGUGCGAAAGCGUGGGUAGCAAACAGGAUUAGUACCCCAGUAGUC